RNAcentral lists this ribosomal RNA (539 nucleotides) under Bacillus sp. GX6638. RNAcentral's name for it is "bacterial SSU rRNA". It matches the Rfam family "Bacterial small subunit ribosomal RNA", at positions 944 to 1533 of the family's 1533-position model. The record is from RNAcentral. Lineage: Bacteria; Bacillati; Bacillota; Bacilli; Caryophanales; Bacillaceae.
GUUUAAUUCGAAGCAACGCGAAGAACCUUUACCAGGUCUUGACAUCCUCUGCCACCUCUAGAGAUAGGAGCGUUCCCCUUCGGGGGACAGAGUGACAGGUGGUGCAUGGUUGUCGGUCAGCUUCGUGUUUCGUGAGAUGGUUGGGUUAAGUCCCGCAACGAGCGCAACCCUAGAUUCUUAGUUGCCAGCAUUCAGUUGGGCACUCUAAGGAGACUGCCGGUGACAAACCGGAGGAAGGUGGGGAUGACGUCAAAUCAUCAUGCCCCUUAUGACCUGGGCUACACACGUGCUACAAUGGACGGUACAAAGGGCAGCAAAACCGCGAGGUCGAGCCAAUCCCAUAAAACCGUUCUCAGUUCGGAUUGUAGGCUGCAACUCGCCUACAUGAAGCCGGAAUCGCUAGUAAUCGCGGAUCAGCAUGCCGCGGUGAAUACGUUCCCGGGCCUUGUACACACCGCCCGUAAUCGGAUCCCGGGCCCGUCGACUGCAGAGGCCUGCAAUGCAAGCUUUCCCUAUAGUGAGUCGUAUUGGGAAUUGGC